GAAAUGCGAUAAGUAGUGUGAAUUGCAGAAUUCAGUGAAUCAUCGAAUCUUUGAACGCACAUUGCGCCCUUUGGUAUUCCUUAGGGCAUGCCUGUUCGAGCGUCAUCUAAACCUUCAAGCCCUGCUUGGUGUUGGGUGCCUGUCCCGCCUCCGCGCGCGGACUCACCUCAAAUCCAUUGGCGGCCCCCGCGUCGGCCAUGAGCGCAGCAGAAAUGCGAACUCGUGAGCCCGUCCGGGCGGCUCCCAGAAGCUACACCCACCCAGUUUGACCUCGGAUCAGGUAGGGAUACCCGCUGAACUUAAGC
This 305-nucleotide unclassified non-coding RNA is filed under the name plant metagenome. Its description in RNAcentral is "partial contains 5.8S ribosomal RNA, internal transcribed spacer 2, and large subunit ribosomal RNA". The stretch from base 1 to 105 matches the Rfam family "5.8S ribosomal RNA", at positions 50 to 154 of the family's 154-position model. The record is from RNAcentral.